This 81-nucleotide transfer RNA is filed under the name Spirochaetaceae bacterium. RNAcentral describes it as "tRNA-Leu". It matches the Rfam family "tRNA". Rfam says of the family: Transfer RNA (tRNA) molecules are approximately 80 nucleotides in length. Their secondary structure includes four short double-helical elements and three loops (D, anti-codon, and T loops). Further hydrogen bonds mediate the characteristic L-shaped molecular structure. tRNAs have two regions of fundamental functional importance: the anti-codon, which is responsible for specific mRNA codon recognition, and the 3' end, to which the tRNAs corresponding amino acid is attached (by aminoacyl-tRNA synthetases). tRNAs cope with the degeneracy of the genetic code in two manners: having more than one tRNA (with a specific anti-codon) for a particular amino acid; and 'wobble' base-pairing, i.e. permitting non-standard base-pairing at the 3rd anti-codon position. Lineage: Bacteria; Pseudomonadati; Spirochaetota; Spirochaetia; Spirochaetales; Spirochaetaceae. RNAcentral also lists the same sequence under 2 other names. The record is from RNAcentral.
GCGAGUGUGGUGGAAUUGGUAGACACGCUAGUCUUAGGAACUAGUGCCUCCGGUGUAAGGGUUCGAGUCCCUUCACUCGCA